Molecule: ribosomal RNA, 301 nt
Filed under: Bacillus velezensis
Lineage: Bacteria; Bacillati; Bacillota; Bacilli; Caryophanales; Bacillaceae
Description: bacterial LSU rRNA
Rfam family: Bacterial large subunit ribosomal RNA
Source: RNAcentral
GGAGGCGCCCAAAGGUUCCCUCAGAAUGGUUGGAAAUCAUUCGCAGAGUGUAAAGGCACAAGGGAGCUUGACUGCGAGACCUACAAGUCGAGCAGGGACGAAAGUCGGGCUUAGUGAUCCGGUGGUGCCGCAUGGAAGGGCCAUCGCUCAACGGAUAAAAGCUACCCCGGGGAUAACAGGCUUAUCUCCCCCAAGAGUCCACAUCGACGGGGAGGUUUGGCACCUCGAUGUCGGCUCAUCGCAUCCUGGGGCUGUAGUCGGUCCCAAGGGUUGGGCUGUUCGCCCAUUAAAGCGGUACGCG